GACGAACGCUGGCGGCGUGCUUAACACAUGCAAGUCGAACGGAAAGGCCCUGCUUUUGUGGGGUGCUCGAGUGGCGAACGGGUGAGUAACACGUGAGUAACCUGCCCUUGACUUUGGGAUAACUUCAGGAAACUGGGGCUAAUACCGGAUAGGAGCUCCUGCUGCAUGGUGGGGGUUGGAAAGUUUCGGCGGUUGGGGAUGGACUCGCGGCUUAUCAGCUUGUUGGUGGGGUAGUGGCUUACCAAGGCUUUGACGGGUAGCCGGCCUGAGAGGGUGACCGGCCACAUUGGGACUGAGAUACGGCCCAGACUCCUACGGGAGGCAGCAGUGGGGAAUAUUGCACAAUGGGAGGAAGCCUGAUGCAGCAACGCCGCGUGCGGGAUGACGGCCUUCGGGUUGUAAUCCGCUUUCGCCUGUGACGAAGCGUGAGUGACGGUAAUGGGUAAAGAAGCACCGGCUAACUACGUG
RNAcentral lists this ribosomal RNA (468 nucleotides) under uncultured bacterium. RNAcentral describes it as "partial 16S ribosomal RNA". It matches the Rfam family "Bacterial small subunit ribosomal RNA", at positions 28 to 507 of the family's 1533-position model. The record is from RNAcentral.